This 501-nucleotide long non-coding RNA is filed under the name Setaria italica (foxtail millet). RNAcentral describes it as "long non-coding RNA (SITA_LNC004102)". The record is from RNAcentral. Lineage: Eukaryota; Viridiplantae; Streptophyta; Magnoliopsida; Poales; Poaceae.
AUUAAUCGGCUGCCUGAGUCCGGAGUACUGAUUGUUUGCUGCCGCGGCCUUGAUUUGAUCGCUAGUUCUUCUCCUUCUCCUUGUUCUUGGACGGGACACGGCCGUCGGUGCCGGCGAGUAUGCUGUACUUCUCCUUUCGGGUGAUGGUGGUGCACUCGAAGCCGAGCUGCCCGCUGAGCGUCUUCUGGAUGUAAUUGGCCACCUCGAUGGGCGACUUGCCACCGCUGCAGGUGAGCUCCUUGGGCAGCUGGUUCAGGAACGUGACCUCGUACGUCGGCCGCGGGUUCAUGAAGAAGAAGUAGGGGUCCAUGAUCUUGAAGCCGCGCACGGUUGAGCCGUGGAACAUGCUCUCCUUGGUGUUGAUGGCCACGGGCACGAUGCGGUCGGUGAGCUCGGCGAACAGGGCGCUGAAGCGCAGUAGGAAGGGCUCGCGGCAGGUGGUGCCCUCGGGGCAGAUGACGAGGUCGCCCUCCUCCAGCAGGCGUCGGAUGUUCUCGGCGU